RNAcentral lists this ribosomal RNA (497 nucleotides) under uncultured bacterium. RNAcentral's name for it is "partial 16S ribosomal RNA". It matches the Rfam family "Bacterial small subunit ribosomal RNA", at positions 28 to 507 of the family's 1533-position model. The record is from RNAcentral.
GAUGAACGCUGGCGGCGUGCCUAAUACAUGCAAGUCGAGCGAACGGACGAGAAGCUUGCUUCUCUGAUGUUAGCGGCGGACGGGUGAGUAACACGUGGAUAACCUACCUAUAAGACUGGGAUAACUUCGGGAAACCGGAGCUAAUACUGGAUAAUAUUUUGAACCGCAUGGUUCAAAAGUGAAAGACGGUCUUGCUGUCACUUAUAGAUGGAUCCGCGCUGCAUUAGCUAGUUGGUAAGGUAACGGCUUACCAAGGCAACGAUGCAUAGCCGACCUGAGAGGGUGAUCGGCCACACUGGAACUGAGACACGGUCCAGACUCCUACGGGAGGCAGCAGUAGGGAAUCUUCCGCAAUGGGCGAAAGCCUGACGGAACAACGCCGCGUGAGUGAUGAAGGUCUUCGGAUCGUAAAACUCUGUUAUUAGGGAAGAACAUAUGUGUAAGUAACUGUGCACAUCUUGACGGUACCUAAUCAGAAAGCCACGGCUAACUACGUG